This 200-nucleotide unclassified non-coding RNA is filed under the name soil metagenome. RNAcentral describes it as "partial contains internal transcribed spacer 2 and large subunit ribosomal RNA". The record is from RNAcentral.
UCAUUAUCACUAAUCAAGCUCGGCUUGCUGUUGGACCCUCUUGUCGUUAAAAGACAGGUCCCAAAGAUAAUGACGGUGUUAUUAGAACCCUAGAUGCAACGAGCUUUAACUAGCACGCAUGAUAGUGGCCUUUUAACCCGGUCUUUUUAACCAAUUUUAAGGUUGACCUCGGAUCAGGUAGGAAUACCCGCUGAACUUAA